UGGGGAAUCUUGCGCAAUGGGCGAAAGCCUGACGCAGCAACGCCGCGUGCGGGAUGAAGGCCCUCGGGUUGUAAACCGCUUUCAGUGGGGACGAACCAAGACGGUACCCACAGAAGAAGCCCCGGCCAACUACGUGCCAGCAGCCGCGGUAACACGUAGGGGGCAAGCGUUGUCCGGAUUUAUUGGGCGUAAAGAGCUCGUAGGUGGUUCAGUAAGUCGGGUGUGAAACCUCCAGGCUCAACCUGGAGACGCCACCCGAUACUGCUGUGACUAGAGUCCAGUAGGGGAGCAUGGAAUUCCUGGUGUAGCGGUGAAAUGCGCAGAUAUCAGGAGGAACACCAGUGGCGAAGGCGGUGCUCUGGGCUGGAACUGACACUGAGGAGCGAAAGCGUGGGGAGCGAACAGGAUUAGAUACCCUGGUAGUCCACGCCGUAAACGUUGGGUACUAGGUGUGGGGUCUUAUCAACGGAUUCCGUGCCGAAGCUAACGCAUUAAGUA
RNAcentral lists this ribosomal RNA (498 nucleotides) under uncultured Actinomycetes bacterium. Its description in RNAcentral is "bacterial SSU rRNA". It matches the Rfam family "Bacterial small subunit ribosomal RNA", at positions 355 to 866 of the family's 1533-position model. Lineage: Bacteria; Bacillati; Actinomycetota; Actinomycetes. The record is from RNAcentral.